GUUUUGGCCUGGGCUUCUUCGUUGUGUAUUCAAGGUCUGUUUAAAUGGACAGCUUUGUCACUGAUAAGCUAACUGAGUGGCGGCUGUUUGAGCUGACAGAGACAUUUUUGAGGCCAUCUACAGGGUUGAGAAGAAGACUAUCCGGCAUUCCACUGAAGAGUCCCUGACAGCGUUCAUACACCAAAUGUCUGUUGGAACAAAUAUGGUGGAAUACAGUGGCGGCUCUUAACUGCUCAUCCGAAGAUCCGCUAAUUCAAAAUAAGUGUUCAGAUUGUCACGUGUGUG
Long non-coding RNA from Paramisgurnus dabryanus, 285 nucleotides. RefSeq lists it as uncharacterized. The record is from RefSeq and is a predicted model, not a curated record. NCBI's taxonomy places the organism in Eukaryota, Metazoa, Chordata, Actinopteri, Cypriniformes, Cobitidae.